GGAGCAGCCCAGAGCCUGAAUCAGUGUGUGUGUUAGUGGAAGCGUCUGGAAAGGCGUGCGAUACAGGGUGACAGCCCCGUACACAAAAAUGCACAUAUUGUGAGCUCGAUGAGUAGGGCGGGACACGUGGUAUCCUGUCUGAAUAUGGGGGGACCAUCCUCCAAGGCUAAAUACUCCUGACUGACCGAUAGUGAACCAGUACCGUGAGGGAAAGGCGAAAAGAACCCCGGCGAGGGGAGUGAAAAAGAACCUGAAACCGUGUACGUACAAGCAGUGGGAGCACGCUUAGGCGUGUGACUGCGUACCUUUUGUAUAAUGGGUCAGCGACUUAUAUUCUGUAGCAAGGUUAACCGAAUAGGGGAGCCGAAGGGAAACCGAGUCUUAACUGGGCGUUAAGUUGCAGGGUAUAGACCCGAAACCCGGUGAUCUAGCCAUGGGCAGGUUGAAGGUUGGGUAACACUAACUGGAGGACCGAACCGACUAAUGUUGAAAAAUUAGCGGAUGACUUGUGGCUGGGGGUGAAAGGCCAAUCAAACCGGGAGAUAGCUGGUUCUCCCCGAAAGCUAUUUAGGUAGCGCCUCGUGAAUUCAUCUCCGGGGGUAGAGCACUGUUUCGGCAAGGGGGUCAUCCCGACUUACCAACCCGAUGCAAACUGCGAAUACCGGAGAAUGUUAUCACGGGAGACACACGGCGGGUGCUAACGUCCGUCGUGAAGAGGGAAACAACCCAGACCGCCAGCUAAGGUCCCAAAGUCAUGGUUAAGUGGGAAACGAUGUGGGAAGGCCCAGACAGCCAGGAUGUUGGCUUAGAAGCAGCCAUCAUUUAAAGAAAGCGUAAUAGCUCACUGGUCGAGUCGGCCUGCGCGGAAGAUGUAACGGGGCUAAACCAUGCACCGAAGCUGCGGCAGCGACACUAUGUGUUGUUGGGUAGGGGAGCGUUCUGUAAGCCUGUGAAGGUGUACUGUGAGGUAUGCUGGAGGUAUCAGAAGUGCGAAUGCUGACAUAAGUAACGAUAAAGCGGGUGAAAAGCCCGCUCGCCGGAAGACCAAGGGUUCCUGUCCAACGUUAAUCGGGGCAGGGUGAGUCGACUCCUAAGGCGAGGCCGAAAGGCGUAGUCGAUGGGAAACAGGUUAAUAUUCCUGUACUUGGUGUUACUGCGAAGGGGGGACGGAGAAGGCUAUGUUGGCCGGGCGACGGUUGUCCCGGUUUAAGCGUGUAGGCUGGUUUUCCAGGCAAAUCCGGAAAACUAAGGCUGAGGCGUGAUGACGAGGCACUACGGUGCUGAAGCAACAAAUGCCCUGCUUCCAGGAAAAGCCUCUAAGCAUCAGGUAACAUCAAAUCGUACCCCAAACCGACACAGGUGGUCAGGUAGAGAAUACCAAGGCGCUUGAGAGAACUCGGGUGAAGGAACUAGGCAAAAUGGUGCCGUAACUUCGGGAGAAGGCACGCUGAUAUGUAGGUGAAGUCCCUCGCGGAUGGAGCUGAAAUCAGUCGAAGAUACCAGCUGGCUGCAACUGUUUAUUAAAAACACAGCACUGUGCAAACACGAAAGUGGACGUAUACGGUGUGACGCCUGCCCGGUGCCGGAAGGUUAAUUGAUGGGGUCAGCGCAAGCGAAGCUCUUGAUCGAAGCCCCGGUAAACGGCGGCCGUAACUAUAACGGUCCUAAGGUAGCGAAAUUCCUUGUCGGGUAAGUUCCGACCUGCACGAAUGGCGUAAUGAUGGCCAGGCUGUCUCCACCCGAGACUCAGUGAAAUUGAACUCGCUGUGAAGAUGCAGUGUACCCGCGGCAAGACGGAAAGACCCCGUGAACCUUUACUAUAGCUUGACACUGAACAUUGAGCCUUGAUGUGUAGGAUAGGUGGGAGGCUUUGAAGUGUGGACGCCAGUCUGCAUGGAGCCGACCUUGAAAUACCACCCUUUAAUGUUUGAUGUUCUAACGUUGACCCGUAAUCCGGGUUGCGGACAGUGUCUGGUGGGUAGUUUGACUGGGGCGGUCUCCUCCUAAAGAGUAACGGAGGAGCACGAAGGUUGGCUAAUCCUGGUCGGACAUCAGGAGGUUAGUGCAAUGGCAUAAGCCAGCUUGACUGCGAGCGUGACGGCGCGAGCAGGUGCGAAAGCAGGUCAUAGUGAUCCGGUGGUUCUGAAUGGAAGGGCCAUCGCUCAACGGAUAAAAGGUACUCCGGGGAUAACAGGCUGAUACCGCCCAAGAGUUCAUAUCGACGGCGGUGUUUGGCACCUCGAUGUCGGCUCAUCACAUCCUGGGGCUGAAGUAGGUCCCAAGGGUAUGGCUGUUCGCCAUUUAAAGUGGUACGCGAGCUGGGUUUAGAACGUCGUGAGACAGUUCGGUCCCUAUCUGCCGUGGGCGCUGGAGAACUGAGGGGGGCUGCUCCUAGUACGAGAGGACCGGAGUGGACGCAUCACUGGUGUUCGGGUUGUCAUGCCAAUGGCACUGCCCGGUAGCUAAAUGCGGAAGAGAUAAGUGCUGAAAGCAUCUAAGCACGAAACUUGCCCCGAGAUGAGUUCUCCCUGACUCCUUGAGAGUCCUGAAGGAACGUU
RNAcentral lists this ribosomal RNA (2558 nucleotides) under Shigella dysenteriae. RNAcentral describes it as "partial 23S ribosomal RNA". It matches the Rfam family "Bacterial large subunit ribosomal RNA", at positions 294 to 2839 of the family's 2925-position model. Lineage: Bacteria; Pseudomonadati; Pseudomonadota; Gammaproteobacteria; Enterobacterales; Enterobacteriaceae. The record is from RNAcentral.